UACCGAGGUCCCGAGCGUUGUUCGGAUUCCUUGGGCGUAAAGGGUGCGUAGGCGGCGGGGCAAGUCUGAUGUGAAAUCCCGGGGCUCAACCCCGGAACUGCAUUGGAUACUGCCUUGCUCGAGUACUGGAGAGGGAACUGGAAUUUACGGUGUAGCAGUGAAAUGCGUAGAGAUCGUAAGGAAGGCCAGUGGCGAAGGCGAGUUCCUGGACAGUUACUGACGCUGAGGCACGAAGGCCAGGGGAGCAAACGGG
RNAcentral lists this ribosomal RNA (253 nucleotides) under uncultured bacterium. Its description in RNAcentral is "partial 16S ribosomal RNA". It matches the Rfam family "Bacterial small subunit ribosomal RNA", at positions 524 to 776 of the family's 1533-position model. The record is from RNAcentral.